UUGAUCCAUGGCUCAGAUUGAACGCUGGCGGCAGGCCUAACACAUGCAAGUCGAGCGGUAGAGAGAAGCUUGCUUCUCUUGAGAGCGGCGGACGGGUGAGUAAUGCCUAGGAAUCUGCCUGGUAGUGGGGGAUAACGCUCGGAAACGGACGCUAAUACCGCAUACGUCCUACGGGAGAAAGCAGGGGACCUUCGGGCCUUGCGCUAUCAGAUGAGCCUAGGUCGGAUUAGCUAGUUGGUGAGGUAAUGGCUCACCAAGGCGACGAUCCGUAACUGGUCUGAGAGGAUGAUCAGUCACACUGGAACUGAGACACGGUCCAGACUCCUACGGGAGGCAGCAGUGGGGAAUAUUGGACAAUGGGCGAAAGCCUGAUCCAGCCAUGCCGCGUGUGUGAAGAAGGUCUUCGGAUUGUAAAGCACUUUAAGUUGGGAGGAAGGGCAGUAACAUAAUACUUUGCUGCUUUGACGUUACUGACAGAAUAAGCACC
This 487-nucleotide ribosomal RNA is filed under the name Pseudomonas sp. CL1.16. Its description in RNAcentral is "bacterial SSU rRNA". It matches the Rfam family "Bacterial small subunit ribosomal RNA", at positions 13 to 494 of the family's 1533-position model. Lineage: Bacteria; Pseudomonadati; Pseudomonadota; Gammaproteobacteria; Pseudomonadales; Pseudomonadaceae. The record is from RNAcentral.